Molecule: long non-coding RNA, 635 nt
Filed under: Danio rerio (zebrafish)
Lineage: Eukaryota; Metazoa; Chordata; Actinopteri; Cypriniformes; Danionidae
Description: lncRNA si:dkey-19d21.1 (ENSDARG00000097066.2)
Source: RNAcentral
GCUGUGUGAUGAGAGUAGAGUAGGGUCAGCAGCAAGGGACAUCAGGAGGAUAUUGUGGCAUCUUCAAAGUUUACAAAGGGCAGUGACAGCAGCAACAGUUGUGGCGAUGCUGGUUCGAGCCUCAGCUGGGUCAGUUGGUGUUUCUGUGUGCAAGAUGCAAGAACAGGAUGGAUGAAAAAGCAAACUAACCCUGUCAUGGGUAAAAAAAGACAACCUGCUAGGCACCAUACAAGUUGCAUUGAUUGGGAGUCUGCAUAAUGUUGAUCAAAAAUGUGGAUGUCAAAGAUGGACUUGUCAAUGGAUGCUUUGGAAACAUUGUGACCAAAACAAAAUACAGACUUGCAUUUGUGCACAUGCUUGGAAAUCAGUCGACAAUCCAAAUGCUGGCCAGAAAUACAUACGACAACAACUGCAAGGUGAAGAGGACACUUUACAUCAAAAGAUCAGAGGAAACUCUUAAAAAAGAAGCAGUCUGUCAACUAUUUCCAAUCAAGAUGGCUUACGCAUGCACCACUCACAAAGUUCAAGGCAUGACCAUGCAAUCGGCUGUCAAAAAUCACAACCACGUUGGAGAGGACAAAAAAUGGCAACGCUGGAAGGCAUCAUGCUACUUUUUCACUGGAAAAAAACCAACA